CCCUUCGGGGGUACACGAGCAGCGAACGGGUGAGUAUCGCGUGGGUAAUCUACCUAGAGGUGGGGGAUAGCCUCGGGAAACCGAGGGUAAUACCGCAUGAGUCCUCAAUGACAUAAGUCGAUGAGGGGAAAGGCGGGGCUCCUUCGGGACCUGUCGCCUCUGGAUGAGCCCGCGUCCGAUUAGCUAGUUGGUGGGGUAAUGGCCUACCAAGGCAACGAUCGGUAGCCGGCCUGAGAGGGUGAACGGCCACAUUGGGACUGAGACACGGCCCAGACUCCUACGGGAGGCAGCAGUGGGGAAUUUUGGGCAAUGGGGGAAACCCUGACCCAGCGACGCCGCGUGGAGGAUGACGGCCUUCGGGUUGUAAACUCCUGUCAGGUGGGAAGAAAAGCCAGUCGGUUAAUACCCGGCAGGAAUUGACGGUACCACCAAAGGAAGCCCCGGCUAACUCCGUGCCAGCAGCCGCGGUAAUACGGAGGGGGCAAGCGUUAUUCGGAUUUACUGGGCGUAAAGCGCACGUAGGUGGCAUGGUAAGUCAAAGGUGAAAGCCCUCGGCUCAACCGAGGAAUUGCCUUUGAAACUGCUUUSUUUGAGUCCGGGAGGGGGGAGCGGAAUUCCCAGUGUAGCGGUGAAAUGCGUAGAUACUGGGAGGAACACCGGUGGCGAAGGCGGCUCCCUGGACCGGUACUGACACUGAGGUGCGAAAGCGUGGGUAGCAAACAGGAUUAGAUACCCUGGUAGUCCACGCCGUAAAACGAUGGGCACUAGGUGCAGCGGGUGUCGACCCCUGCUGUGCCGUA
This 800-nucleotide ribosomal RNA is filed under the name uncultured bacterium. RNAcentral's name for it is "bacterial SSU rRNA". It matches the Rfam family "Bacterial small subunit ribosomal RNA", at positions 76 to 850 of the family's 1533-position model. The record is from RNAcentral.